RNAcentral lists this ribosomal RNA (466 nucleotides) under uncultured bacterium. RNAcentral's name for it is "partial 16S ribosomal RNA". It matches the Rfam family "Bacterial small subunit ribosomal RNA", at positions 28 to 507 of the family's 1533-position model. The record is from RNAcentral.
GAUGAACGCUGGCGGCGUGCUUAACACAUGCAAGUCGAACGAUGAAGCCCAGCUUGCUGGGUGGAUUAGUGGCGAACGGGUGAGUAACACGUGAGUAACCUGCCCUUAACUCUGGGAUAAGCCUGGGAAACUGGGUCUAAUACCGGCUAGGUGCGUCCACCGCAUGGUGGGUGUUGGAUAGAUUUAUCGGUUUUGGAUGGACUCGCGGCCUAUCAGCUUGUUGGUGAGGUAAUGGCUCACCAAGGCGACGACGGGUAGCCGGCCUGAGAGGGUGACCGGCCACACUGGGACUGAGACACGGCCCAGACUCCUACGGGAGGCAGCAGUGGGGAAUAUUGCACAAUGGGCGCAAGCCUGAUGCAGCGACGCCGCGUGAGGGAUGACUGCCUUCGGGUUGUAAACCUCUUUCAGUAGGGAAGAAGCGAAAGUGACGGUACCUGCAGAAGAAGCACCGGCUAACUACGUG